AAGCUCGCUUUCCCUAAAAAAACGCACAAGAGCUCGAUGCACGUAGCCUAGCCGCCUGUGGAAGUUAGACGAGGGCAUCCGUACAGCAGAUUAGCGCCGCCGCUGUCGCCCAUGGCGGAGUAAUCUUACAGAGCUGAAAGGGAAACGGCAAGGCUGAAGUCAGGGGCUACAUCUCCCUCCUUUCUUUGAUUUUCUGCAAGAUCAGAGAUGGACAAAAAAACAAAGAUGUUAAUUUGUGCGGCGGCAGCACAAUGGUUUAUCAAUAUGAUAGCUUUAGUUGUCCAAUCUAGAAAAAGAAAAAGGAGAGAGGCAAUUACAUAUGCCCCAAUUGAUGAGAGAGAUAGGAUGAGAAGAGAGUACUUUGAUAACAAAGGAUGGAAGAAUGACACAACUUGUGUGAACAUCCUUAGGCUUCGGAGAGCUCCUUUCUUUCGGUUUUGUCAACUAUUUAGAGAUCGCAAUUUGCUAAAGGACACAAUCCAUAUGUCCAUUGAGCAGCAAGUAGCAAUGUUUUUGCACACUGUUGGUCACAAUGUUCGGAAUAGAGUAAUUGGUGGGAAUUUUGGUAGAUCUGGUGAAGUUGUUAGCCGCUAUUUUAAAAAAGUACUCCAUGCAAUUGGUGAGCUUCGAGAUGAACUUAUUAGGAAGCCUUCAUUGGGGACCCAAAAGAAAAUAGAAGGAAACCAUCGGUGGGAUCCAUACUUUAAGGAUUGUAUUGGAGCUAUUGAUGGUACACAUGUACGUGCCUCUGUUACACCUGAUACGGAGGCUGCCUUUGAUGGUAGAAAGAAAUAUACUACUCAAAAUGUGAUGGCGGCUGUUGAUUUUGACCUUCGAUUCACAUAUGUGUUGGCCGGUUGGGAGGGGACAGCACAUGAUGCUGUAGUUUUACGCGAUGCUUUAGGACGUGAAAAUGGUCUACGUGUCCCACAAGGUAAUAGAUUAACCAUGUAGAUACAUGUUGUCAAUGGGAUUUUGAUAUAUAUGUAAGUAACCCAAAUGCUCCUCGUAUUUAGGAAAAUUUUAUCUAGUUGAUGCCGGAUAUGGAGCCAAACCAGGCUUCUUGCCUCCUUUUCGUGGCGUGAGGUUUUAAAUGAUGGCAUUGAUGAAUAUAUCAUACCCUAGGAUGAAUGGGUGGCCAAUAUCACUCAUGCUUCAUCAUCAACUGGCCAAGCACAAGAACAUGCAUACAUGGCUAAUUUUAGGCAAGGACUUGCUGAUCAAAUGUGGGAAGACCGACAAAACUAUUUGCAGUAUCAAAACAUG
Long non-coding RNA from Triticum aestivum (bread wheat), 1266 nucleotides. RefSeq lists it as uncharacterized. The record is from RefSeq and is a predicted model, not a curated record. The transcript is spliced from 4 exons. NCBI's taxonomy places the organism in Eukaryota, Viridiplantae, Streptophyta, Magnoliopsida, Poales, Poaceae.